UCUUCGGUGUUGUCUGGAAGGGCCCUCUCUUCCGGGAAGGCCCUUCCUCUCACUCUCGGGAGGCCCGGCUCCUGCAGGAGCCACUUUCCAGAAAAUCCCCAGUCGUCUGACAGGUCCCCGAAGGGAGCCCCUCACCCCCCGCCCCCUGCCACCAGCAUCUUUGCCCGGGAGGGGACAGGGCGACAUGGGAGCAGCGGGAGCAGCUGAUUCAGCGCUCGUGGGCCUGCCCCUCCCCCAGCCCCCGCCGGGCAGCGUGCCCAGGCAGGCUGGCAGCUGUGGCACACAGGGCCUCUGGCAGGAUUGCUGUGGCUCUCGCUGUGUGGCCUGCACUGCGCCUGGGGGGUGGCGGGCUGACGCUGGGAGGGCCUGCGCGGGCAGGCGGGCUGCCAGGCGCCCUGGUGCGGUGGCAUCCACGGCCUGAUGCAGAAGAGGCCACUGCGGUCCCAGAAAUCAGCCUGUCCCAAACCAGGAGAUGGCGGACAACCACCCCCGGCCUCGUGUGGUCUCCCGAGAGCCCAGGUCGGGAGAAUUCCACAGCUGCUGGCUGGUCAAGCCACCUACCAGCCUGAUCGAGGUGGCCUGGAGCCCUGGGGUGGGAACAGGCUGAAAGGGGCAGGCGCUGCUACUGGUGGGGACCAGCCAGCUGAUGAGAGCAGCCUGGGCCAAAUGGGGCAGAACGAGAGGCAGCACCCCUAAGGACCCAGAGUGGCAGGUGGCCCGGGCGGACCCUGGGGCAGACCCUGAGCCCGGGCAGGAGGAUGCUGGCUCUGUCCGCCACGAGGGCCCCGUAGGCACGUGUGACGGAGAUGUGGGACCGUCCUCGGGUCCCCAGCCCAGGGAGGGCCACCGGGGGGUUGGGGGCGAGCAUUGGGGAGGCACAGCCUGGAGGCGGGGACUGGGCAGCCACCCCAGAUCAUCCCUCUGGACCCAGCAGUCCUGUGGGCCCUGCAGUCCUGUGCCACCUGCUGUGGUCGGUGGCUCUGUCAGCGAACGUCUUCGGACAAAGCCCCAGAGGCCGAUACGAGUGUCUGAAGAGUCCAGGCCACGUUCCCAUCAGCCGCACGGGACCCUUGCUCCCUGCGGGACGAGGCCGGCCCUCCUGCCUUCUUAGACCCUUAAUGACCAGUCCUGGCUGAAAAGCCGCGUGACCAGUGCCACAGAAUCUAUCAGUCCAGGCUCGUCCCUGGGAGGAGGUAUGUCCCCUGCUGAGGGCUGGGGGGCACGGCCUGGGCUCCCAGGAGGCUGGCGGGGCUACGGGCCCUUCCCUCCUGGGGACCCGGAAGUUGGCUGUCCUUCCGCAGCGAAUGCCACCUCCCUGGGCAGCGUGCGGUGACCUUCCUGGUAGGAACACCAGCUGCCCUGGUGAGGGAUUCACGCCUCUGCCCAAGGUUCACCUGUGGGGAUCACUUUGCAGAACCAAGGGGGCCUCUGUGGCUGGAGGGGGCUGCGGGCGGCCCUGCGGUGACGUCACUCUGGGCUUCGCGUCUGAGUUCUGUUCCAUCCCCACCGCGGCAGAUGCUAACGCGAGUUCUUUGUGUGUUUCUCAAGUCGUGACCCUGUUUUCGGGUUCCCUCCAUGCAUAAAAGCACCGCAGCAAACUCGCUUAUCCGCACUCGGGGGCCGAGUCAGCCUGUCCCGAGCAGACAGGUCCCUGAGGUGAGUUUCGGAGCGGCCGUGGCCCCGUUCGCCCCUGCACCCCUCCCCGUGCUGGGCGGCUGGGCGGUGCGUGCGUGUGUGCGCGAGUGUGCGUGUGUGCACGUGAACACGUCUGAGAGCGUCUUCCCUUUUGAGUCCUGCCCUGUUCACAGGGCUCCGGGCAGGGCGGGUGGACAGUCCCGGCCCUGCCACCCUCUGGGCCCCGGGCUCCCUGUCGGUGCUCCUGGGGAACAGGAGGCCCCUGACGGCCCUGGUCCCCGUGCUCCUGCCCAGGAGGCAGUGGCCGUGCAAAGGCCCCGCUUCCCACCGGGCUCAGCUGGCCGCCGGCCGAGCUGGUUCACACGAGGACGGGGCUGGUGCCCUGCCCACAGCUGCUCCUCGGGCGAGAUAAGGGAGAGGAAACGGAAUCUGGACUCCCAGCCCGGGCGGCAGGGUUGCUGGGCGGCUGGGCCCGGAGCCGGUGGGGAGGGCCGUGGGAGUACAGCCCAAGGCCAGUGCUUCCUGGCGGGUGGGAGCUGCAGGGAGGGGGUGCCGUGGGCUCACCACGUGCCCUGCCACCCGGAUGGCCCGGCGGCCGUGUUCUCUGGGAUGGUGCGGGCGCCCUGCCUCGGGACAGGUCUUUGGCCCCCGUCUCGACCUCAGGGGCACUUCCUGGGCAGGGGGGCACAGCCUGUGGCAGGAUGUCGGACCUGUCACGGAGACCUGGCAUCCUGCACAGAGCUGUCUAGGGAAGGGGAGUGAGUGGAGGGGUUGUUGUCUCAGCGCUUUCGGGGCAGAGUAUCCCGGAGCUGCUGGCUCAUAAACGGCCAACAUCUGUUUCUCACAGUCGUGGAGGCUGCAGGUCCAAGGUCCUGGGGCCGCAGAUGAGGUGUCGGGGCGACGGUGGGGUGCAGCUUCUGUGAGCUCACGGCGGAAGGGCAGGCACCCUCUGCGGCCUCCUUCAUAAGGACACGAGAUGACCUCCCAAUACCUUCCCGGAGGUUAGGGUUUAACAGAUGAACCUGGGAGCCGCACCCACAUUCAGACGGCAGCGUGUCCUUUGUGUGCCCAGGGCUGGCACUCAGGACGCCCUCCAGUUUCUGAACACGGUGUCCAGGGUCACUCAAGGCCAUCGUAAGCUGGGUCUCCCUCCACAAGUGGCCACGGGUGUCCUGAGUGCUGAGUUAUUCCUGGAAAGGCUGCGCCGCUGUUUAGGACUUGGCCCCGUAAGUCCUUCUACUUGUCUCACCUGGGUGUCUCUAGCUGCUGCUGCUGCGGAAGACUUUCCCUGUCCUGUGUGCAUCCUGUCCGCUGCCUCCUUCCUCCUGGCAGCGUGUGCCCAGCUCUCACCUGCACCCCACAAAGGCACUGACUGUCCCUCACACUGCGGCGGCCGCCCUGCGUGAGUCGGCCAGGCCCUGCUGCCCCUCCUGCAAGGAGGGUCAGCACCACAGCCGCCCGGCCCGCAGCCUUCUUGGGAGCAGGCGGCAGCAGCUGCCUAACAGCUGCACUAAAUGUUAGAGGGAAAUUUAGGACAAAAGAGGAAGACGAUUGGCGCAUCCGAUUUAAACUGAGGGGAGGCAUCCAGAAGCCAAAACAGUGCUGCCCUAAUUCACGCGCAGAGCGAGCCACGGGUUUGCAGCCUCUGACAGGAAACCAAAAUACUCACCCAGUUUCCUUCUGUGCGAGGGAUCCAGACUCACCUGACAAGGAGCCUGCAGACGUCCCCUAACCUCUGCGGGGCGGCCUCAGACACCCUCGGGCCGCAGGGUCAGAGGCGCACGUGUGCUGGACUGGCCGGAGCGUCUGCCCUGCAGGCCGGGUUGAGGCCGGGAGGGCAUGUGGGAGGAGCCAGAAGCACCUGGGCAGACAGGUGCCCUGCCCGCAGCUCCAGCUCCAGCUCCAGCCCAAAGCCCGGCGUUCCUGGGCCCUCGCACCCCAGUCAUGGGUGGGCUCUCGGCCCAGGCCCCCAGCUGGGGGAGGUGGUCCCGUGGGAGCAGAGCCUGUCCCCAGGGAAGGGCUUAGGGGGAGGGGUCUGGGGGAGGACCUGAGGUGGCAGGCCUUAUCUCAGAGCUGCCUUCAGCCACCUAAAGCCCCUAGAUGAGGGCCCCACCCUCGGUGGAACCGCCAGGCCCAGCUGGCUGUCGGGGGCUGAUCUGUAGAAAGUGAGUGGCGGUGACGGUGGUGGCGGCCGGGGCGGGGGGCCUCUGGCUCCCCCUCCCCACCAUGGACCGGGCUCUGAGCGGCCACUCCUGCUGGCCUCGUCUCGGCCUCCAACUCUGACACAGGGUCGGUGCUGGGCGGAGUGUGGGAACCUCCGGUUUCCGGAGCCCAUCGGAGCCUCAACCACAGACCCGCAGUAAGACCCCGAGAGGGAUGUGCCUUCAGCCCCGUCCAUGAGGCAAGGGGACAGGGGGAAACAACUCCCUCUGCCCGGGGUCGGGGCGAAGUGCAUUAUGUGAAAAGGGCUUCUAAACCCAGCUCCGGUUCACCCUUCCACUUCGAGCGUGUAAGAUGCCGGCGGCGGGGAAGGAGCUCCUGCUGCGGCACAGCGCUCACGAACCCGACCAGAAUCCAUGAGGACGCAGGUUCGAUCUCUGGCUUCACGCUAUGGGUUAAGGAGCCGGCGUUGCCAUGAGCUGUGGUGUAGGUCACAGACGCAGCUCAGAUCCAUCACUGCUGUGGUGUACACCGGCAGCUGCAUCUCCAAUUCGACCUCCAUAUGCCGCACGUGCGGCCCCAAAAAGACAAAAAACAAAAAAGUCCGGCAGAGGGUAGAGUUCCCAAGUGGCCUAGUGGUUAAGGACUUGGCGUCGUUACUGCUUUGGCUUGGGUUCAGUCCCUAGCCCCCAUGUCCAGGGGGUCCCUCCCACUGUGGAGACUAAAGGGGGGCAGCCAGGUGAGCCAUCAAGAAGAAAGGCACCGUCCCCUGGGGUCGGCACCUGUUCCCACCCGCCUGCUGCCUGGACUCAGGCAAGCCCCCCACCCCAAAAGCCGAGGGUCACUCGGGUGGGGGAGCGAUGGGGGGAGCAGGGAAGGUUCCCCCAUGGCAGGGGCAUGGCGCCAGGCCCUGCACCCUCAGCCUCCUUGCUCCGGGGCCGACAUGCAGCUCCCUGCUUCCCGGGACCCAGGAAACGUACGAGAGCCUCGGCCCUUCCCUGAGCCUGAGAACAGAGGCGGAGGAGGAGGAGCCACGCUGGGGUGACCCUCGGGCUCCCCGCUUCCCACUGGGCCUUGGCACCUCCCACCAGGCCCCCCACCUCCCCAGAGGCCACAGGGCCUGGGCACAGAGCCCCUCCAUGCCCGUCUCCCGGGCUCGGGCUGUGCUGGGAGUGGACCCAGCGGCUCUGACCAAACAUUCACCUUCCCUACCAGGUGGGUCGGAACCAGGCAGAACCAGCCCCUUCCCCGCUCGCCUGUUCCUCGAGACAGCCGGGCACCUCCUCUCGGGGCCCCGCAUCCCAUUUUGUUUUGCCUUGUGGGAAGCACGCGUAACCUGAGAUGUACCUGUGUCACCACUUUGAGCGCACAGCUCAGUGGCCUCGAGCCGGUCCCUCUGGUGUAACCACCACCGCACCCACCUCUGAGAUUCGCUCAUUUCCCAAACCGAAGCUCUGUCCCCAUUAAACACCCGCUCCCCCUCCCUCAGCCCCGGCAUAAAUAAACAAAUAAAUCUCCACC
RNAcentral lists this long non-coding RNA (5316 nucleotides) under Sus scrofa (pig). RNAcentral's name for it is "lncRNA (ENSSSCG00000044955.2)". The record is from RNAcentral. Lineage: Eukaryota; Metazoa; Chordata; Mammalia; Artiodactyla; Suidae.